This 497-nucleotide ribosomal RNA is filed under the name uncultured bacterium. Its description in RNAcentral is "partial 16S ribosomal RNA". It matches the Rfam family "Bacterial small subunit ribosomal RNA", at positions 28 to 507 of the family's 1533-position model. The record is from RNAcentral.
GAUGAACGCUGGCGGCGUGCCUAAUACAUGCAAGUCGAGCGAACAGACGAGGAGCUUGCUCCUCUGACGUUAGCGGCGGACGGGUGUGUAACACGUGGAUAACCUACCUAUAAGACUGGGAUAACUUCGGGAAACCGGAGCUAAUACCGGAUAAUAUAUUGAACCGCAAGGUUCAAUAGUGAAAGACGGUUUUGCUGUCACUUAUAGAUGGAUCCGCGCCGCAUUAGCUAGUUGGUAAGGUAACGGCUUACCAAGGCGACGAUGCGUAGCCGACCUGAGAGGGUGAUCGGCCACACUGGAACUGAGACACGGUCCAGACUCCUACGGGAGGCAGCAGUAGGGAAUCUUCCGCAAUGGGCGAAAGCCUGACGGAGCAACGCCGCGUGAGUGAUGAAGGUCUUCGGAUCGUAAAACUCUGUUAUUAGGGAAGAACAAAUGUGUAAGUAACUAUGCACGUCUUGACGGUACCUAAUCAGAAAGCCACGGCUAACUACGUG